UCCAGCUUAUCGCUGGCGGUCUCCUGCGAGUUGCGCCUUGCGGCAUGCCAACACAGGACAAGGGUUGCGCUCGUUGCGGGACUUAACCCAACAUCUCACGACACGAGCUGACGACAGCCAUGCACCACCUGUGAUCCUGCCCACAAGGGGAAACCGUGUUUCCACGGCGGUCAGGAACAUGUCAAACCCAGGUAAGGUUCUUCGCGUUGCGUCGAAUUAAACCACAUGCUCCGCUGCUUGUGCGGGUCCCCGUCAAUUCCUUUGAGUUUUAGCCUUGCGGCCGUACUCCCCAGGCGGGGUGCUUAUCGCGUUAGCUUCGGCACAGCCGGAUUGGGUACCGGCCACACCAAAUAUGCAUCGUUUAGGGCGGGGACUAC
RNAcentral lists this unclassified non-coding RNA (377 nucleotides) under uncultured bacterium. Its description in RNAcentral is "contains 16S-23S intergenic spacer region". The record is from RNAcentral.